UACGGGGGGGGCAAGCGUUGUUCGGAAUUACUGGGCGUAAAGGGUUCGUAGGUGGCCAACUAAGUCAGACGUGAAAUCCCUCAGCUUAACUGGGGAACUGCGUCUGAGACUGGAUGGCUUGAGUGCAGGAGAGGAACGCGGAAUUCCAGGUGUAGCGGUGAAAUGCGUAGAUAUCUGGAGGAACACCGGUGGCGAAGGCGGCAUCCUGGACCGACACUGACGCUGAGGAGCGAAAGCCAGGGGAGCAAACGGG
Molecule: ribosomal RNA, 253 nt
Filed under: uncultured bacterium
Lineage: Bacteria
Description: partial 16S ribosomal RNA
Rfam family: Bacterial small subunit ribosomal RNA
Source: RNAcentral